This 233-nucleotide small RNA is filed under the name Drosophila guanche. Lineage: Eukaryota; Metazoa; Arthropoda; Insecta; Diptera; Drosophilidae. The record is from RNAcentral.
CACUUGCUGCUGCUGCUGCACUUGUUGCUGCUGCACUUGCUGCUGCUGCACUUGCUGCUGCUGCACUUGCUGCUGCUGCACUUGAUGCUGCUGCACUUGCUGCUGCUGCACUUGCUGCUGCUGCACUUGAUGCUGCUGCACUUGCUGCUGCUGCACUUGCUGCUGCUGCUGCUGCACUUGCUGCUGUUGCUGUUGCUGCUGCAAUUGCAGUUGCAACUGCUGCUGCUGCUUGA